UGGGGAAUAUUGGACAAUGGGCGCAAGCCUGAUCCAGCCAUGCCGCGUGAAUGAUGAAGGCCUUAGGGUUGUAAAAUUCUUUCGCCAGGGAUGAUAAUGACAGUACCUGGUAAAGAAGCCCCGGCUAACUUCGUGCCAGCAGCCGCGGUAAUACGAAGGGGGCUAGCGUUGUUCGGAAUUACUGGGCGUAAAGCGCGCGUAGGCGGACUUUUAAGUCAGAUGUGAAAUCCCGGGGCUCAACCUCGGCACUGCAUUUGAAACUGGGAGUCUAGAGUUCAGGAGAGGUUAGCGGAAUACCGAGUGUAGAGGUGAAAUUCGUAGAUAUUCGGAGGAACACCAGUGGCGAAGGCGGCUCACUGGCUCGAUACUGACGCUGAGGUGCGAAAGUGUGGGGAGCAAACAGG
This 404-nucleotide ribosomal RNA is filed under the name uncultured bacterium. RNAcentral's name for it is "bacterial SSU rRNA". It matches the Rfam family "Bacterial small subunit ribosomal RNA", at positions 355 to 776 of the family's 1533-position model. The record is from RNAcentral.